Molecule: long non-coding RNA, 506 nt
Filed under: Physcomitrium patens
Lineage: Eukaryota; Viridiplantae; Streptophyta; Bryopsida; Funariales; Funariaceae
Description: long non-coding RNA (PPAT_LNC004185)
Source: RNAcentral
AAGGAAACUAUAAUCUCCUCCUUCACCUUAUCGAUCUCUUUUUUAUAGCAAUUCAGUCAUACCAAUAACUGCUAUUUCCACCAAUAUAUUCACCCUCAUAAUCUUCAACUGUAAUACUAGGCCCUCACAGCUUUCAGCACACAAUUAUUCUCGUUCCAAUCAUUGGAAUUCUUCACACAGAACUACUAUUCAUAUUAUAGUGUUUUACACAAACACAAACUCAUUCUCUCUGCUAAACUACAAUCAGAUUUCAGCAUUCAAUCUUUCUUCUUUUCAAAUAAUACCAAUCACAUUUCCAUUCCAUAAUUCACUUCACAAUAUUCAGAAACUCUCAAUUCUCUUAUUUUAAAAAAAUAACAAACAAAAAAAAAGAGGUAGCACCAAGCUUACCCCGGCUCACAACUAUCACAACGAUGGCACCUUAAUUAACUUCUAUAAUUCCUAUAUACUUUUCCUUGAUUUUCUAGAUUCUAAUCGUAAUUUUGUAAUUAAUCGCUUUUAAUAAC